CAUUUUACUUGUCGUAACGCGUGUGAUGUUNANUCUUAUCAUAAACAUUACCCCUUUCANCUUGGGUGUUAUAAUCCAUUCUCUAAGUCAUGUGGUCNUAUUCCUCCUUUUUUGUACCCCACAAGAAUUUCGAGUUGGUAAUACCCANUGGGGUUAACAAAGAAUUUUUAUUNCGCCUUAAAAGUAUUUGGGUUCUUGCCGUUCCCGAAUUUAAACCUUUUUGUUUUGCUCGUGGUUUAAAAAACCCUUCCAAGGCUGUGAUCUGUACCUGUCUUGAGAGGAUGAUCACCACAUGUGGGAACUGUAGACACCGGCCCNAAACUCCUACGGGAGGCAGCAGUAGGGAAUCUUGCGCAAUGGGGGUAAACCCUGGACGCAGCGACACCACAUUGAGUGAUGAAGGCUCUAGGGUUGUAAAGCUCUGUUCUUGACGAACAAACAAAUGAUUAGUCAAGGAGAAAGGACCGGCUAACUUCGUGCCAGCACUCGGUAAGACGAGGGGUCCAAGCGUUGUCCGGAAUUAUUGGGCGUAAAGCGGGUGUAGGCGGUUUUGCAAGUCUAGAAGUGAAAGCCUCAGGCUCAACCUGAGAAGUGCUUUUGAUACUGCCAUAAACUUGAGUUUGGAAGAGGGCAAUGGAAUUCCUGUUGUAGUUGGUGAAAUGCGUAGAUAUCAGGAGGAAUACCAGAGGCGAAGGCGGUUGCCUGGUCCAAUACUGACGCUGAGAUCCGAAAGCGUGGGGAGCAAACAGGAUUAGAUACCCUGGUAGUC
RNAcentral lists this ribosomal RNA (769 nucleotides) under uncultured delta proteobacterium. RNAcentral describes it as "bacterial SSU rRNA". It matches the Rfam family "Bacterial small subunit ribosomal RNA", at positions 172 to 795 of the family's 1533-position model. Lineage: Bacteria; Deltaproteobacteria. The record is from RNAcentral.